AGUGAACGCUGGCGGUAGGCCUAACACAUGCAAGUCGAACGGCAGCACAGUAAGAGCUUGCUCUUACGGGUGGCGAGUGGCGGACGGGUGAGGAAUACAUCGGAAUCUACUUUUUCGUGGGGGAUAACGUAGGGAAACUUACGCUAAUACCGCAUACGACCUACGGGUGAAAGCAGGGGAUCUUCGGACCUUGCGCGAUUGAAUGAGCCGAUGUCGGAUUAGCUAGUUGGCGGGGUAAAGGCCCACCAAGGCGACGAUCCGUAGCUGGUCUGAGAGGAUGAUCAGCCACACUGGAACUGAGACACGGUCCAGACUCCUACGGGAGGCAGCAGUGGGGAAUAUUGGACAAUGGGCGCAAGCCUGAUCCAGCCAUACCGCGUGGGUGAAGAAGGCCUUCGGGUUGUAAAGCCCUUUUGUUGGGAAAGAAAAGCAGCAGGUUAAUACCCCGCUGUUCUGACGGUACCCAAAGAAUAAGCACCGACUAACUUCGU
Molecule: ribosomal RNA, 491 nt
Filed under: uncultured bacterium
Lineage: Bacteria
Description: partial 16S ribosomal RNA
Rfam family: Bacterial small subunit ribosomal RNA
Source: RNAcentral